Molecule: transfer RNA, 72 nt
Filed under: Camelus bactrianus (Bactrian camel)
Lineage: Eukaryota; Metazoa; Chordata; Mammalia; Artiodactyla; Camelidae
Also listed under: 2 other names
Rfam family: tRNA
About the family: Transfer RNA (tRNA) molecules are approximately 80 nucleotides in length.
Source: Rfam by way of RNAcentral
GAGGGUACAGCUCAGUGGUAAAGCACAUGCUUAGCAUGCAAGAGGUUCUGGGUUCAAUCCCUGGUACCUCCA